Molecule: ribosomal RNA, 446 nt
Filed under: uncultured bacterium
Lineage: Bacteria
Description: partial 16S ribosomal RNA
Rfam family: Bacterial small subunit ribosomal RNA
Source: RNAcentral
CCUACGGGAGGCAGCAGUCGAGAAUCAUUCACAAUGGGGGAAACCCUGAUGGUGCGACGCCGCGUGGGGGAAUGAAGGUCUUCGGAUUGUAAACCCCUGUCAUGUGGGAGCAAAUUAAAAAGAUAGUACCACAAGAGGAAGAGACUGCUAACUCUGUGCCAGCAGCCGCGGUAAUACAGAGGUCUCAAGCGUUGUUCGGAAUCACUGGGCGUAAAGCGUGCGUAGGCUGUUUCGUAAGUCGUGUGUGAAAGGCGCGGGCUCAACCCGCGGACGGCACAUGAUACUGCGAGACUAGAGUAAGGGAGGGGGAACCGGAAUUCUCGGUGUAGCAGUGAAAUGCGUAGAUAUCGAGAGGAACACUCGUGGCGAAGGCGGGUUCCUGGACAUUAACUGACGCUGAGGCACGAAGGCCAGGGGAGCGAAAGGGAUUAGAUACCCCAGUAGUC